UGCGGCCGAAAGGAGACGGGCUGGGGAAGUCGUUGGCACUAGGAUGGAAGGAGGGAGGACGUUUUCUCGUGGCUAAGAAAAGCUGAAGAGUCAGGAUCUCACCGUGUUACUCAGGCUGGUCUCAAACUCCUGAGCUCAAGUGAUCUGCUUGCCUUGGCCUCCAAAAGUGCUGAGAUUACAGGCCCUGCCACCGUGCCAUGAGGAAAUGGAAAGACCACGUGGAGUGGUCACAUAUAAAUGUUCCAGCCACCAGCCUCAGCGGAGGUCCCAGCCCACAGUCAGCAACAACUCCAGACACGUGAGUGGCAGCAAGAUGAUGCCAGCCGCAGUUACCAUCUGAUUACAACUUCAUAAGAAACCCUGAGCAAGGGCUGCCCAGCUGAGUUCAACCAACGCCCCAGACCUGUGGGUGAUGAUAAUAAAAUUAUUGUUGUUUUGAGUCA
Molecule: long non-coding RNA, 443 nt
Organism: Pan troglodytes (chimpanzee)
Lineage: Eukaryota; Metazoa; Chordata; Mammalia; Primates; Hominidae
Exons: 3
Source: RefSeq, a predicted model, not a curated record